GCUUCAACAGGCCCCUCCCGCCUGCUCCAGGCUCCAGCUCCGGGUCAAAGCGAGUAAGCUCCCGGAAACAGGAGCUCAGCCGCCCCAGCGCAGGGAGGGGCGGGGACUGUGGUGGACACGACCCAUGACCUCACCUCUUCUGGCUCCAGGCAGCAGCCCUGCCCACCUCUGGAGAAUUCCAUGACUCAGGACAUGGACAGGAGCACCAGGUGGGGGACGACCAUGUGAGGAUAGCGGGAGAGCCACCAUCUGCAAGCCAAGGAGAGAGGCCUCAGGAGAAACCCUUCCUGGGAACACCUUGAUCUUGGACUUCCAGCUUCCAGAACUACGAGAAACGUAAACGUCUGUGGUUUAAA
Suricata suricatta (meerkat) is the source of this 356-nucleotide long non-coding RNA. RefSeq lists it as uncharacterized. NCBI's taxonomy places the organism in Eukaryota, Metazoa, Chordata, Mammalia, Carnivora, Herpestidae. The record is from RefSeq and is a predicted model, not a curated record. The transcript has 2 exons.